UACGAAGGGGGCUAGCGUUGUUCGGAAUUACUGUGCGUAAAGCGCACGUAGGCGGAUUUGUUAGUCAGGGGUGAAAUCCCGGGGCUCAACCUCGGAACUGCCUUUGAUACUGCAAAUCUCGAGUCCGGAAGAGGUGAGUGGAAUUCCUAGUGUAGAGGUGAAAUUCGUAGAUAUUAGGAAGAACACCAGUGGCGAAGGCGGCUCACUGGUCCGGCACUGACGCUGAGGUGCGAAAGCGUGGGGAGCAAACAGG
RNAcentral lists this ribosomal RNA (253 nucleotides) under uncultured bacterium. RNAcentral describes it as "partial 16S ribosomal RNA". It matches the Rfam family "Bacterial small subunit ribosomal RNA", at positions 524 to 776 of the family's 1533-position model. The record is from RNAcentral.